CAAAUUAAAUUUCCUUUCUUCCUAGUUUAUGUGUGAACCUUAUGCAAACCAUGCAAGAUUUAAGUAGAUAUGGUCCCCUCAUAUGCUCUCCUAGCACUCGUACACCCACCCCUUUUGGCUCAUGGGUUUGAUGCUUUACUCCUCACAGUCAGAGAGAUAGUCCCCCACUCUCCCAGGGCCCAGCCUAAGAAAGUAUUUAAUGCUCCUACAAUAUAUAUGGAAACACUCACUAACUUGUCUGCAAAACUGCAUGGUUCUCUUCUUGGCGUGACAAUAUUCAAUUUGCAUCAUCAGGGACCACUCCUUACAUUUUCCAUAUAUAAAUUUUGUUUUUAUUUAUUUUUUCCCUGUAGCCCGCUUUCUCAAUCUUCACAGUCCUCCUAUAUUCCAUCAACAACAAAAAAUAAAAAUCAAAUUAAUGAUAAAAUAAUCCUGAUAAUUCAUAACUCCCCUUCAAUCCCCUCCUCAUCCUUCUAUUUAUACCUCCUUCAUCCUCUCACCCUCUUCAUACCCUCUCAUCUCCUGCUGUUCUUAAAGUACUAGCUAUAACAUAUGCUAGCUAGCUCUUCUGACUGUGCAUCUUCUUAUCGUGCACCUCUAUCAGUUGAAGCUGCCAGCAUGAUCUUAGCCUUCCUCCUUUGUUGAGGAAAGAAACAGAUCAUGUGGCAGUUUCACCUGUUGUUGGUAUCACGAGAAACCCUAAUUCCAAAUAAAACCUAAUCAAUUUCCUUUCUUACAUGGCUAGCUAGCUAAUAUUAGGGUUCUCCUUGUCCAAUCCCUAGAAAGGAUUUUUGCGUCUCGGUACAGUUCGACGAUUUCAAGAUCCGUCCUGAUGCUUUGGUGAUUGAGCCCUGAGGUUCCUAUAAGUAGCCUGCCGUACGGAUCUUGUUAAUUAAUUUGGUAAGCCCCUUCUAUUUCCUGUAGAUUAUAUAUGUACUAUAUCUUAUUUUUCUUUGUUUGGGGUUUAUAACACGGUUAUAUGAAUUGAUUCCGGCUUAGAUUAGCGGCAACAAAUUUCAAAAUAGCAGCGCUCAUUUUAGGGUUUCAAAAACAUCUUAUAUGCACCUUCCCAUCAUUACCUUUAUUUUAAGUUGAUUUGGAAUAUAAGCUCACCUUACUAGUCUGGCUAGGGUUUCUGUGAAGUGCAUUCCUUUCUAAUUUAACAACUCGCAAAUCAAAGUGUGUAUGUGUGUGUGAGAUCAGAGAAAAGGAGAGAAGUCAAUGAUUUCUUUAAAUUUUGUGCGUUGUUGAGACAAACACUGUUUUUUCUCUCAAUUAAUCGAGUUACAGAUUCAUGAUAUAGAAAGCAAGUUUUUUUCUUGUUAUGUUUUGAAAAACUUGCUCUUGUAUUCCUUCGUUGUUUCCUGUUUCAGGUUCUCAUGAUGUUGGUUAAUUUAUCCAGUCUUCUCACUUGGUGAGUUGGAUCUUGGUCAUUUUACUGCACAAAUACAAGUUACACACCCACAAACCACCCAGAGUUUUUCUGGGAAGCAAUUGAGAUCUUAAGAUGUCAUCAUUUGAGAUUGGUCAAGAAGAGAGCACUCGGUAUUUUUUAUGUGCGUGUGAUUUUGCAAUUUUGAGUCGUGUAAGAUUUCAUGAAAUUAAACAGUAAGAUUGAGAGACUGCUUGAAAUUUGGAGAAUAUAUCUGGUACAGAAAUAGAAUAGUAAGCUUGUCCUAUUUGAAAAAGUUAUUUCUUUAACAUUUUAUAGAUCAUCUCGUGGAUCUCUUAUCUCUUGUAGCUUAAAGAUUCACAAUGAUGAAAGCAUGGGUUUCUUUUCAUACAUAUUCUUUGAAGUUCCUUAUCUGUUCUGAUCACUUCCGUGUAUAUCUCUUCCAAGUUUGAUGAUGAAGAAGAAGAAGAAAACAAUGGUGACGAUGACAGUGAGAGGGAUUAUUAAAGAUGACAACCUCUUAGUCUUUAGUUUGAAUAGCUAGGAGAUAUCUUGUCUUAGGUACUAACAGAGGGUUUGGGGAUCCAGUUGUAAAUUAUCAACAUGAAACGAAAUAAAUAACCUUAAGAAAUUCACCAAGUAUUUCCCUAGUUUCUUAAUUACAUAUGAAAAGCAAAUAGCAGAACAUUUGAGUUGCUGUAACCUUGUGGCCUCUAAAUUCCUUUUUGAUUGUUUAAUUGAUAUUAAUUUGGAUGCGUUUUGGAGAAGGCUGCGAGCUACAGCAUUAUUAGGACAAUGGUCUGGUUAGCACCAGCCCCAGCUCUGAGACUUAGACUCUAUAUUUGCGGACCACAACAAUACAGAUCGUGUGGACUGGCUAAAUUGAGCAUUAAUGGGGAGUGAACCACGGGACAAUUUAUGUUGCGAUUGAGAGAACCGCAACCCCAAACACUGCUAUAAGAUUUUACAUCCUAUUUUUUUCCUUUGUCAGCUCGCAUGCAGAAUAUUGCAAGAACAUUUGAAUCUUGAUAGAGAAAUCUGUCAAAGGAGCCCAGAUGUAGAAAUGUAACAUUUUGAAUUUUGAGAACUCACAUUUCUACGCUCCAUUGGCAUAAUUUUGGUAUGUGAUCCGUGCUUGUGUUUCAUUUUUGUCUCAAUAAAAUGUAUUCUCUCGUCGUGUUAUCAAAAAUAUCUAAACGUUGGCUUGCAUGUGAACCCCUUAAACUCAUUCCAGUCCUUAUAUUCCAUGUGCACACAAGAGUACAAAUUAAACAUUAUAGAUGUACAUAAAUACAUAUAUAUAUGAAGGUUGAUGGUUCCCAUCUAGCUAUCUCUAUCUUCCCUAUUAAAUGCACCUCUCUUUUAUCUAGACAUAUGUGCUUGCUUGCUGGCAUUUUUUUUUCAAGUACACAACAAACACACACACUGGAGAUGUUUAUGCUUAGAUACUUGAAGUCUAUAGCUCCUCUCUUGAUUGUUCAAGUUUGGCCACUCUCUUUUGGUAGGAAGAUCUAUAUGGACAAGAUUCGAUAUUGCUUUCCUUUUUCCAGAGGACUCCAGAGUGCCCAAAGAAGUAAAAACGUCAUUAAUUUGAUUUCCCCAACCAUUACCAGAGCUUGCAAUUGUCAUUUUCAUCGAGGACAUUGGGUGGAGGAUCCACUGAUGAUAAGGCCUUGUUACAUGCCAUUUUAAGGAUGCUCUUGGGAGACCAUGAUGCUGUCUAGACAACGACAAUACAACUGACUUUGUUUUCUUAAAGGGACCCGGGAAUGGUUCGCGUUUAAUUGGUGAAAGAGAGAGAUCAGUUGAAAAGGUUAGCAGCGUAUGUGCCUGUGAUGAGGUAGUGUGUUUAAAUGGAUAAAGCUUGUAUGUAUCCUGGUACUGCACAAUUCACAUGCGGAGAUAGUAUCUUUGAUAUCUUUAAUAGGGGAAUUAAUGCAUAUACUCAAUGUGAGUUAGUGCUUCUUACUUCCUUAACAUGAUGUGCCUUGCAUUUUGUUUAGUUGUUACAGUCUUCCUAGCUAGCAUCACUUGAAUUUUAGGAUAUGCUUAGCUUUCGAACGUUUGCUUAAUGUAAUUUGAUCAUCUCCAUUUUUAAGUCUUUAUUUUA
Molecule: long non-coding RNA, 3503 nt
Organism: Populus trichocarpa (black cottonwood)
Lineage: Eukaryota; Viridiplantae; Streptophyta; Magnoliopsida; Malpighiales; Salicaceae
Exons: 2
Source: RefSeq, a predicted model, not a curated record